Molecule: ribosomal RNA, 441 nt
Filed under: uncultured Atopobium sp.
Lineage: Bacteria; Bacillati; Actinomycetota; Coriobacteriia; Coriobacteriales; Atopobiaceae
Description: bacterial SSU rRNA
Rfam family: Bacterial small subunit ribosomal RNA
Source: RNAcentral
CAUCUUCGGAUGUGUAUAAAAGUGGCGAAACGGCUGAGUAACACGUGGGCAACCUGCCCUUUGCACUGGGAUAGCCUCGGGAAACCGAGGUUAAUACCGGAUACUCCAUAUUUGUCGCAUGGCGAAUAUGGGAAAGCUCCGGCGGCAAAGGAUGGGCCCGCGGCCUGUUAGCUAGUUGGUGGGGUAGUGGCCUACCAAGGCAAUGAUGGGUAGCCGGGUUGAGAGACCGACCGGCCAGAUUGGGACUGAGACACGGCCCAGACUCCUACGGGAGGCAGCAGUGGGGAAUCUUGCACAAUGGGCGAAAGCCUGAUGCAGCGACGCCGCGUGCGGGAUGAAGGCCUUCGGGUUGUAAACCGCUUUCAGCAGGGACGAGGCCGCAAGGUGACGGUACCUGCAGAAGAAGCCCCGGCUAACUACGUGUCAGCAGCCGCGGUAAAU